Molecule: ribosomal RNA, 473 nt
Filed under: uncultured bacterium
Lineage: Bacteria
Description: bacterial SSU rRNA
Rfam family: Bacterial small subunit ribosomal RNA
Source: RNAcentral
AGGACGAACGCUGGCGGCGUGCUUCAUACAUGCAAGUCGAACGAUAAGGCACCUUCGGGUGUACAUAAGUGGCGGACGGGUGAGUAAUAUGUAGAGAAUCUGCCCUAGAGAGCGGGACAACAGUUGGAAACGACUGCUAAUACCGCAUAUGAGCGUAGCUGAAAUGCUAUUCUUGAAAACUCCGGUGCUCUGGGAUGAGUCUGCAUCUGAUUAGCUAGUUGGGGGUGUAAUGGACCACCAAGGCGACGAUCAGUAGCUGGUUUGAGAGGAUGAUCAGCCACAAUGGGACUGAGACACGGCCCAUACUCCUACGGGAGGCAGCAGUAGGGAAUUUUGCGCAAUGGGGGAAACCCUGAACCGCAGCAACGCCGCGUGACCGAUGAAGCCCUUCGGGGUGUAAAGGUCUGUCAGUGGGGACGAAUAUUGACGGUACCCACAGAGGAAGCAUCGGCUAACUCCGUGCCAGCCGCCGC